UUAUUAAUAAAAUCUGUACCUGUACAACCAAAAAUUCUGACUUUCAGAGCAGGUAUCUACGGAUAAAUAUCCGACAGGAACGUCCCUCGAGUUCACUUCAGUAUCAGUUUUUUGUUGUUGUUGUUAGUUUUGUGACUGCAUCCAUGAGACAUCUGGACAGACAGGUUUGUAGAGUCAAAGCAGAAAAAACACGUGACUCAUGUCAAACAGACUUCUGAAACAUUCGUGCUGCUAAAUCCAAUCGUUAAAAAAGACAAACGAGGAAAACCACAAGCAAAAAUUUGUUUAUUGAAAUGAACUCGUGCACUUUAACGUGAGGUCGGCUCAAAGGACAGAAUUUACAUACAGGAUCUGAACUUCUGCAAAGGAUACAGUGUGCAUAUGUGGGUUGUGUAGUGAGAAGGAUGCUGAGGAUGGAGCUGCCAGGCAGAAAGACAAGAGGGAGGACAAAGAGGAGGUUUGUGGACACGCAGGUGGUUGGCGGGACAGAAACAGAUGCAAAGCACAAGGUGCCAGCAAUAUUUUUUUUGUGCAGCAGCUCAGAGUGCUUUUACAGCCUCAUCUGUGAAAGCAGAUAGGACAGACGCUUGCUUCUUGCUGAGGGUGAGUACUUUUUAAACACCUAACAUUUUAAAGUAGCUGCGCACACUUUUUACCUGCACUGAAACCGCUGGGAUGAAACAUUUGUGGGCACUUUUCCAAAGUGGAGGGGCGGCACUAUAUGAACACAGGGCUUUAAUUACUCCAUAUUUGCUGAAGUAGGUAAAGUAGCUAUGUAGUUUUGUUUAAUAGUCUACAUUUUUACCUUCAGAGGUUCUGAAUUAGACUGUGUCAAAGUGUCUAUGGCUGAAUGGUAAUAUUCGCUAUAAUAUCGACCCAAUUCCUGACGGAAACAGCUGUUUUUCUGGGCUCCCUUUACAGCCUGGAGAAAAGUUGACCCCUGUGUAAUAUUCUGAUGCAGGUUAAAUUACUACUAGAAAAAAAAUUGAAUAUUUGAGAGUUGCAAGCACGGAGGCAAAAUGUGUUAAACUUGUCCCGAUCUCCCCUACAAAUAUUGGAAAGUAUUUCAUUGUGUUCACUCUCUCACAAUUCAUGUAGUAACUCCAUUAGGAGACAUAAUCAGAAGGCAGUAACCGGAGGUUAAAAGCGUUUAGAAGUGAUGUGU
This is a long non-coding RNA of Thalassophryne amazonica, 1165 nucleotides long. RefSeq lists it as uncharacterized. The transcript has 3 exons. NCBI's taxonomy places the organism in Eukaryota, Metazoa, Chordata, Actinopteri, Batrachoidiformes, Batrachoididae. The record is from RefSeq and is a predicted model, not a curated record.